Molecule: ribosomal RNA, 769 nt
Filed under: uncultured bacterium
Lineage: Bacteria
Description: bacterial SSU rRNA
Rfam family: Bacterial small subunit ribosomal RNA
Source: RNAcentral
AUUGAAUGCUGGCGGCAGGCCUAACACAUGCAAGUCGAGCGGCAGCGACUUAACUGAACCUUCGGGGAACGUUAAGGGCGGCGAGCGGCGGACGGGUGAGUAAUGCCUGGGAAUAUGCCCUGAUGUGGGGGAUAACUAUUGGAAAUGAUAGCUAAUACCGCAUAAUCUCUUCAGAGCAAAGAGGGGGACCUUCGGGCCUCUCGCGUCAGGAUUAGCCCAGGUGGGAUUAGCUUGUUGGUGAGGUAAUGGCUCACCAAGGCAACGAUCCCUAGCUGGUCUGAGAGGAUGAUCAGCCACACUGGAACUGAGACACGGUCCAGACUCCUACGGGAGGCAGCAGUGGGGAAUAUUGCACAAUGGGGGAAACCCUGAUGCAGCCAUGCCGCGUGUGCGAAGAAGGCCUUCGGGUUGUAAAGCACUUUCAGUAGGGAGGAAGGUAGUGUAGUUAACACCUGCAUUAUUUGACGUUACCUACAGAAGAAGCACCGGCUAACUCCGUGCCAGCAGCCGCGGUAAUACGGAGGGUGCGAGCGUUAAUCGGAAUUACUGGGCGUAAAGCGCAUGCAGGCGGCCUGUUAAGUCAGAUGUGAAAGCCCGGGGCUUAACCUCGGAAUUGCAUUUGAAACUGGCAGGCUAGAGUCUUGUAGAGGGGGGUAGAAUUUCAGGUGUAGCGGUGAAAUGCGUAGAGAUCUGAAGGAAUACCAGUGGCGAAGGCGGCCCCCUGGACAAAGACUGACGCUCAGAUGCGAAAGCGUGGGGAGCAAACAGG